CGCGAAUCGCCCUUCGGGGCGCAGCAGGCGCGAAAACUCUACAAUGCAGGCAACUGCGAUAGGGGAACAUCGAGUGGCGUCCAUAUUGGAUGUCUGUCCUCCCGCCUAAAAAGCGGGAGUUAGCAAGGGCCGGGCAAGACCGGUGCCAGCCGCCGCGGUAAUACCGGCGGCUCGAGUGGUGGCCGAUAUUAUUGAGUCUAAAGGGUCCGUAGCCGGCUUUGCAAGUCUCUCGGGAAAUCCAGCGGCUUAACCGUUGGUCGUCCGGGGGGUACUACAUUGCUUGGGACUGGGAGAGGUAGGAGGUACUCAGGGGGUAGGAGUGAAAUCCUGUAAUCCUUUGGGGACCACCGGUGGCGAAGGCGUCCUACCAGAACAGGUCCGACGGUGAGGGACGAAAGCUAGGGGCACGAACCGGAUUAGAUACCCGGGUAGUCCUAGCCGUAAACGAUGCUCGCUAGGUGUCACAACAGUCGUGAACUGUUGUGGUGCCGUAGGGAAGCCGUGAAGCGAGCCACUUGGGAAGUACGACCGCAAGGUUGAAACUUAAAGGAAUUGGCGGGGGAGCAC
RNAcentral lists this ribosomal RNA (567 nucleotides) under uncultured archaeon. RNAcentral's name for it is "bacterial SSU rRNA". It matches the Rfam family "Archaeal small subunit ribosomal RNA", at positions 312 to 879 of the family's 1478-position model. The record is from RNAcentral.